RNAcentral lists this transfer RNA (75 nucleotides) under Deltaproteobacteria bacterium ADurb.Bin207. Its description in RNAcentral is "tRNA-Arg". It matches the Rfam family "tRNA". From Rfam's summary of the family: Transfer RNA (tRNA) molecules are approximately 80 nucleotides in length. Their secondary structure includes four short double-helical elements and three loops (D, anti-codon, and T loops). Further hydrogen bonds mediate the characteristic L-shaped molecular structure. tRNAs have two regions of fundamental functional importance: the anti-codon, which is responsible for specific mRNA codon recognition, and the 3' end, to which the tRNAs corresponding amino acid is attached (by aminoacyl-tRNA synthetases). tRNAs cope with the degeneracy of the genetic code in two manners: having more than one tRNA (with a specific anti-codon) for a particular amino acid; and 'wobble' base-pairing, i.e. permitting non-standard base-pairing at the 3rd anti-codon position. Lineage: Bacteria; Deltaproteobacteria. The record is from RNAcentral.
GCGCCCGUAGCUCAGUUGGAUAGAGCAUUGGUCUACGGAACCAAGGGUCGCAGGUUCGAAUCCUGCUGGGCGCGC